AGCUUGCUCCCUUAGGUCAGCGGCGGACGGGUGAGUAACACGUGGGUAACCUGCCUGUAAGACUGGGAUAACUCCGGGAAACCGGGGCUAAUACCGGAUGCUUGAUUGAACCGCAUGGUUCAAUCAUAAAAGGUGGCUUUUAGCUACCACUUGCAGAUGGACCCGCGGCGCAUUAGCUAGUUGGUGAGGUAACGGCUCACCAAGGCGACGAUGCGUAGCCGACCUGAGAGGGUGAUCGGCACACUGGGACUGAGACACGGCCCAGACUCCUACGGGAGGCAGCAGUAGGGAAUCUUCCGCAAUGGACGAAAGUCUGACGGAGCAACGCCGCGUGAGUGAUGAAGGUUUUCGGAUCGUAAAACUCUGUUGUUAGGGAAGAACAAGUACCGUUCGAAUAGGGCGGCACCUUGACGGUACCUAACCAGAAAGCCACGGCUAACUACGUGCCAGCAGCCGCGGUAAUACGUAGGUGGCAAGCGUUGUCCGGAAUUAUUGGGCGUAAAGCGCGCGCAGGCGGUUUCUUAAGUCUGAUGUGAAAGCCCCCGGCUCAACCGGGGAGGGUCAUUGGAAACUGGGGAACUUGAGUGCAGAAGAGGAGAGUGGAAUUCCACGUGUAGCGGUGAAAUGCGUAGAGAUGUGGAGGAACACCAGUGGCGAAAGCGACUCUCUGGUCUGUAACUGACGCUGAGGCGCGAAAGCGUGGGGAGCGAACAGGAUUAGAUACCCUGGUAGUCCACGC
RNAcentral lists this ribosomal RNA (739 nucleotides) under Bacillus licheniformis. Its description in RNAcentral is "bacterial SSU rRNA". It matches the Rfam family "Bacterial small subunit ribosomal RNA", at positions 77 to 800 of the family's 1533-position model. The record is from RNAcentral. Lineage: Bacteria; Bacillati; Bacillota; Bacilli; Caryophanales; Bacillaceae.